UGGGCUAUAGCCAAGCGGUAAGGCAACGGACUUUGACUCCGUCAUUCGUUGGUUCGAAUCCAGCUAGCCCAGUCA
RNAcentral lists this transfer RNA (75 nucleotides) under Vagococcus elongatus. RNAcentral describes it as "tRNA-Gln". It matches the Rfam family "tRNA". Rfam says of the family: Transfer RNA (tRNA) molecules are approximately 80 nucleotides in length. Their secondary structure includes four short double-helical elements and three loops (D, anti-codon, and T loops). Further hydrogen bonds mediate the characteristic L-shaped molecular structure. tRNAs have two regions of fundamental functional importance: the anti-codon, which is responsible for specific mRNA codon recognition, and the 3' end, to which the tRNAs corresponding amino acid is attached (by aminoacyl-tRNA synthetases). tRNAs cope with the degeneracy of the genetic code in two manners: having more than one tRNA (with a specific anti-codon) for a particular amino acid; and 'wobble' base-pairing, i.e. permitting non-standard base-pairing at the 3rd anti-codon position. Lineage: Bacteria; Bacillati; Bacillota; Bacilli; Lactobacillales; Enterococcaceae. The record is from RNAcentral. RNAcentral also lists the same sequence under 1 other name.